CAAGCCAGAGACAGCAAAGACACUUGAUAUGAAGAGGGGAUUUAGAGAGAAAGGAGACAGAACUACAUCUAACUCCUAAUAAUGUCUUCGUGGGAAGUAGUGACACAGUUGUUCACAGUGAGGAACUGGUGCACAGGCUGACCAAAGCCAUUCCAUGUAAAGAGAAAAAUAAAGAGCAGGAGAAUAAAGAGCAGGAGAAGAGAGCAGGAAGAGAUGAGGCGUCCGCCAGUCUCCCAAACAGAGGAAGGACAGGGAAAAAGUGAAGUCAAUAAUAGUUUAUAUUCAGCCAAGGCAAUAUUAGCAUCCAUCCUCCAUCUCCAUCCAGCUUCUCUUUUCUUCAGCCACAGUGACUGUCGGAACUGACCGUAACUUAACCGAUCUGUGGAGCGGUGAGCAUUAGACACCAGCAUGUCUGCCAUCGAGAGUCAACAUGCCGCCAGGGGUGAAAGGUCACAUCUGAGCAUAGGGAUGGGAAACCGCUCCAGCGAAAGGAAGGGGGAUAAAGAAAAGACCAAUGCAGGGUGGUUAAGUAUUCACUGGCAACAUAAAAUGAGAAGCAGUGGUUAAGGGCACAGAGAGGGGGAUUCUAAGUGGAGGUUUAGGCUUUGUGUAUGUUCAUAUUUCCUCUAUGAAUUUGGCCUGCUGUCUGAGUCAAAUCACAGUUAAUUCUUUGGAGAAAUCCACCCUCUUGUUUAGAUCCAAAUUCCACAACCUCAUUCACUUUUUAUGGAAUUUCUCUAUGAGUAGUUGAAAAUGUGACAGCAAUCUAAGUCAUGGGGUACAACGUAGGAGCUGUGUAUGGAGUCAAACUGAACUCACUGGAAUGCAAACAUAAAAACACAUAAAUAAAGACAAAUACGAUGUAAUGAAAUAUCUAAACCAUGAAUAUGAACCCAAAACUGUAAGCAGGAAAAUUUAUACCAUAAAAUAAAUCCAUAAGUUCUAAAGUU
Molecule: long non-coding RNA, 950 nt
Organism: Thunnus maccoyii (southern bluefin tuna)
Lineage: Eukaryota; Metazoa; Chordata; Actinopteri; Scombriformes; Scombridae
Exons: 3
Source: RefSeq, a predicted model, not a curated record